GAUGAAGAACGCAGCGAAAUGCGAUAAGUAAUGUGAAUUGCAGAAUUCAGUGAAUCAUCGAAUCUUUGAACGCACAUUGCGCCCCCUGGUAUUCCGGGGGGCAUGCCUGUCCGAGCGUCAUUACAACCCUCAAGCUCAGCUUGGUGUUGGGCCCCGCCGCCCCGGCGGGCCCUAAAGUCAGUGGCGGUGCCGUGCGGCUCCGAGCGUAGUAAUUCUUCUCGCUCUGGAGGUCCGGUCGUGUGCUCGCCAGCAACCCCCAAUUUUUUUCAGGUUGACCUCGGAUCAGGUAGGGAUACCCGCUGAACUUAAGCAUAUCAAUAAGCGGAGGA
This 329-nucleotide unclassified non-coding RNA is filed under the name soil metagenome. Its description in RNAcentral is "partial contains 5.8S ribosomal RNA, internal transcribed spacer 2, and large subunit ribosomal RNA". The stretch from base 1 to 120 matches the Rfam family "5.8S ribosomal RNA", at positions 35 to 154 of the family's 154-position model. The record is from RNAcentral.